RNAcentral lists this long non-coding RNA (921 nucleotides) under Homo sapiens (human). RNAcentral's name for it is "HSALNT0262281". Lineage: Eukaryota; Metazoa; Chordata; Mammalia; Primates; Hominidae. The record is from RNAcentral.
GGUGGAUGUAGCCGGGUCUCUGGAAACAGCCAGGUGGAUGUAGCCGGGUCUCUGGAAACAGCCAGGUGGAUGUAGCCGGGUCUCUAGAAACAGCUAGGUGCAUGUAGCUGGGUCUCUGCAAACAGGCAGGCAGCUAUGGGGGAUUGGGGGUGGUCACUGGAAACAGCUAGAUGACUGUAGCUGACUCUUUAGUAACAGCCGAAUGUAACUAGGUCUCUGGAAAGUCACCUUGAGGACUGAGCUGGGAGAUGGGAGGUGCCUCGUGGGAGCUUAUGUCAUGGGUAGAGGAGCACAGUUUAUUGCCUGGCAGGGCGUACGUGUGGGAAUAGAUUCCCCGGCCUCUCUCUCCUCUCACCCUCUGCUCUCCUGACAGUGCCUCCCAUGGCUGAACUCAACCAGACACUAGACACAAGAAGAUGUUGGUGAUGCAAUCCAUAGAGUCAGCCUCCAGGGCAGAGACAAGGUGGGAAAGGACAGAGGGUGUAUUAGGAGAGGCCAGAACUUCCAGUGGGAACUGCUGCCACUGAACCGAGAAACCUAAAUGUAAGGGGAGUAGUUGGAUCCUAGAGUGGCAGGACUCAAGUGUCAGAAGUCAGUCGACAAAGGGAGAGCAUCUAACUUUCUAAGAGGGGUGGAGACAACCAAGUCCCAGCGCACAGAGGAUUCAGAGGUCUCCUGACAUGUGUGAGUGCGUUCAGAGCCUCCCCGUGGGGUCUCCUUCCCUCCUUCAGCCCGUCCAUCAACACAGCAUUGCGGGAUCCUUACCAUGGCAUCCAGCCCUGGAGAUGCUUCAGGAAAGUUGCAGGUCCAUGCUGCAGGACAGGCUCAGAUCAGCAGAGACGCAUCUCACAUCGGGCUGUGAAAUUCAAGUUGAGCUGCAAUUGGCAAUGAGAAAAAAAGGAGAAAUAAAGAAAUGCUGAC